This 308-nucleotide ribosomal RNA is filed under the name uncultured eukaryote. RNAcentral describes it as "partial 18S ribosomal RNA". It matches the Rfam family "Eukaryotic small subunit ribosomal RNA", at positions 1470 to 1796 of the family's 1831-position model. The record is from RNAcentral.
CCCUUAGACGUUCUGGGCCGCACGCGCGCUACACUGACGAAGGCAACGAGCUUUCCUUUACCGAAAGGUACGGGUAAUCUUUUGAAGCUUCGUCGUGCUGGGGAUAGAUCCUUGCAAUUAUUGAUCUUAAACGAGGAAUUCCUAGUAAGCGCAAGUCAUCAACUUGCGUUGAUUACGUCCCUGCCCUUUGUACACACCGCCCGUCGCUACUACCGAUUGAAUGGUUUAGUGAGGCCUUCGGAUCCGCGACUCGUUUUGUGGAGAAGUUGGACAAACUCAGUCAUUUAGAGGAAGUAAAAGUCGUAACA